CAUCACCACAGUGAACCCUACAAUCAUAUUGAAUAACCAAUCUCGUCAGAGGAUACGUCGUCAUCCAGAAAAAGUGGUCGUCUCAUGUCUUUUCAGACCAGAUGGGGGAGAAAUAUAACCCCUUUGAGAUAAAAAGCCUAACAGAUCAUAUUAAUUUGAAUGUCAUGCAAAGAUAUUUUGAUGUGCAUUUUCACAUAUUUCAUUAGAUAAUAUCAUGCUUCUUGAAUAAACCUCAACGUAUCAUUUCUUGCAACUCAUCAUAUUCAUAUCAUUUAUCCAUUUAAUUUCAAUCACAAGUAUGUUACUAAUCAUGUAAAUAUCAUA
RNAcentral lists this long non-coding RNA (324 nucleotides) under Carica papaya (papaya). RNAcentral describes it as "long non-coding RNA (CPAP_LNC009438)". Lineage: Eukaryota; Viridiplantae; Streptophyta; Magnoliopsida; Brassicales; Caricaceae. The record is from RNAcentral.